This 301-nucleotide ribosomal RNA is filed under the name uncultured bacterium. Its description in RNAcentral is "partial 16S ribosomal RNA". It matches the Rfam family "Bacterial small subunit ribosomal RNA", at positions 509 to 809 of the family's 1533-position model. The record is from RNAcentral.
CAGCAGCCGCGGGAAUACAGAGGGUGCGAGCGUUAAUCGGAUUUACUGGGCGUAAAGCGUGCGUAGGCGGCUUUUUAAGUCGGAUGUGAAAUCCCUGAGCUUAACUUAGGAAUUGCAUUCGAUACUGGGAAGCUAGAGUAUGGGAGAGGAUGGUAGAAUUCCAGGUGUAGCGGUGAAAUGCGUAUAGAUCUGGAGGAAUACCGAUGGCGAAGGCAGCCAUCUGGCCUAAUACUGACGCUGAGGUACGAAAGCAUGGGGAGCAAACAGGAUUAGAUACCCCCGUAGUCCCUGUCUCUUAUAU